CCAAACUCUGGAUUCUGGUAGAAAGAUUGUGGACAUUCUUCAAAAUGAAAACCAAAGUGCACCAGUAGAAAAAGCUGAGACAUCUGAUAUUUCACCCACCUACCAGACAGGCUGCAAAAAUUCCUAAAGGAGAAUCUGAAAGCUCUUGGUGUGGCUCAGAUCACGAUCAGUGUGAAAUAUUUCCUCUAUGGGACCAUUGGACUUUUUACUAUUAAUUUAAAAUAUUUCAGCAAUUUAUUCUUCUUAUUUUAUACAGGCUUCCCUAUAUGGGCAUCGUUUUCUUUUGUCAUCUCUGGAUCUCUAACUGUUGUAUCUACCAAGAAGCAAACAAAAUCACUGAUGAGUGGCAAUGUGGGCACCAACACUGUCAGCACCCUGGUCUCACUAGCUGGAAUCUUCCUUCUGUCAAGUAGUUUAUUUAAAAUUUCCCACUUUGACUGUUAUGAAAGGUCAUGUUUGGCUUCAGAUCAAUGGUAGCUAGUUCUCUACUGUUUAGCUGGAAAUCAGCUUCUGAAGGCCCUUAUCAAGAAUUGUUACCUCAAACUUCAAUCUACAGCGAACUUGAACAUAAAGAAACAACACCCUCACAGGAUCCCACAGACACCAGAAAACAAAUGUGAGGCUGUGCCCCUGUAUUGUGGAUCCACAGAGGCAAGAAGCGCUCAUUCUGUGGUGACCAAGCUGGAAACACACAUCUGUGGGGCUUCAUUGGAGUAGUUCAAAGUCAUAGAAAUAAGAGUUAGUAUCCAUCCUGUUCAAGGACUGAUUGGCCACAAAUCAGAUUAUCUUUAAAAACUUGACUUUGAAAUAUCAGUGGCCUAAACCAUUAAAUUUUAUACACUGUAUCUUUAAAA
Long non-coding RNA from Nannospalax galili (Upper Galilee mountains blind mole rat), 854 nucleotides. RefSeq lists it as uncharacterized. The record is from RefSeq and is a predicted model, not a curated record. The transcript is spliced from 5 exons. NCBI's taxonomy places the organism in Eukaryota, Metazoa, Chordata, Mammalia, Rodentia, Spalacidae.